Long non-coding RNA from Cervus elaphus (red deer), 378 nucleotides. RefSeq lists it as uncharacterized. The transcript is spliced from 3 exons. Lineage: Eukaryota; Metazoa; Chordata; Mammalia; Artiodactyla; Cervidae. The record is from RefSeq and is a predicted model, not a curated record.
GGAUUCAUUUCAGGAGAGAAGGAAGAAGUCCAACCCAUCACUUAACAAGAGAUGGACAACUGGAAUGCCAGUUGCUGGAAUACUAACCCUCUCUGUCAGUGUCUUGGAGCCAGCUUUGCUGAGCAUCUGUCUAGAAUGACAAUGAAAACAUCUUUCAGCAUCAGGUUCUGCAGAAUGAAGUCACUACCCACUGCAGUCCCCGACCUCCAACACGCCCUGACAGGAGUUCAGGAUGGAGAUCAGGAAGGAGGCACUCUGUGCUCUGGGAAAACUGACACAGCAGAGAGACAUCUGUUCCUCCUGAUUCUCAGCCGCUUUCUCCCAAGAUGUGAGUUGAUCUGCACGUCAUCCCUUCACCAUAGUCACAUGCAUACUGAC